GAUGAACGCUGGCGGCGUGCCUAACACAUGCAAGUCGAGCGAACAGAUGAGGAGCUUGCUCUUCUGACGUUAGCGGCGGACGGGCGAGUAACACGUGGAUAACCUACUUAUUAGACUGGGAUAACUUCGGGAAACCGGAGCCAAUACUGGAUCAUAUGUCGAACCGCAUGGUUCAAUAGUGAAAGACGGCUUUGCUGUCACUUUUAGAUGGAUCCGCGCUGCAUUAGCUAGUUGGUAAGGUAACGGCUUACCAAGGCGACGAUGCGUAGCCGACCUGAGAGGGUGAUCAGCCACACUGGAACUGAGACACGGUCCAGACUCCUACGGGAGGCAGCAGUAGGGAAUCUUCCACAAUGGGCGAAAGCCUGACCGAGCAACGCCGCGUGGGUGAUGAAGGUCUUCGGGUCGUAAAACUCUGUUGUUAGGAAAGAACAGAUGUAUAAGUAUCUAUGCACGUCUUGACGGUACCUAAACAAAAAGCCACGGCUAACUACGUG
Molecule: ribosomal RNA, 497 nt
Filed under: uncultured bacterium
Lineage: Bacteria
Description: partial 16S ribosomal RNA
Rfam family: Bacterial small subunit ribosomal RNA
Source: RNAcentral